This is a long non-coding RNA of Pezoporus occidentalis (night parrot), 1560 nucleotides long. RefSeq lists it as uncharacterized. The record is from RefSeq and is a predicted model, not a curated record. The transcript has 2 exons. Lineage: Eukaryota; Metazoa; Chordata; Aves; Psittaciformes; Psittacidae.
CGGAGGUGCUCUUGCCCCCAUCUCAAAUAAUAUAAUCUUAAAAAUAAGCAAGCAGUAGCAACAGCACUGCAACCUGGCUACCCACGAAUGGCAUUGUGUCUAUUUGAAAGGCUAGUUAAAGGGGUUGAAUUCUGUAUAGAGUCUUGAUGUUACCUGUUAGGAUUCAUCAGCAAUAAUUGUGUCUAAACAGAGCAUAUGUACAGGGAAAGUGAAUACAAAUCACCUCCAUUAGGGAAGGCUAGCCAUCAGACCUCAAGGUAAGGAGCAGAGCUGCUUUUAUGCUGAUUUCUCUUUUAUCUUUUUUUCUUUACUUUGAGGAAGGGAAAAUGAGAGAAAACCACAGCCAGUAAAUGUGGAACAGAAUAUGCAGUGACUGUUAGCUGUAAAAAAGCAACCAGCUCUUGUCCCAUGCUGUCAAAUGUGUAUAGUAUGUUUUACUGUUGUCAGUAUAAACAGCUACCUGGCCAAGUUCAUUAAAAAUAGGUUUAAAGCCUUACAUAAACCUUCUGUUUCUCACAUGCAAAAUCUUCAAUGAAUUUUAAAGAACGCUGCUGAAAUCUUGAUCAUUUCUUUGCAGGUGAACAGCUGUUGAAUGAUGGCUGCUGGAAGCACAGUAAAUGGCUUGGAUUAAGAACUGGCUAAAAAAUUACAAGUCAGCCAGAGGGUGGAAAUUUGUACCUCCCAAAAUGCUCUUCUCUUUGUGGACUGAAUUAUGUUGACAAGAGCCACUAAAAGCUUCAAUGCAGCGCAGUUAUUGCUUAGCUGUAAGUAAUUAAGUAAGAUGAAGUAAGUAACAUCAGGAAAUACUUUAGAACAGGAAGUGAAAUAGUUAAUAUUUUAGAGGAAAUGGUUACUUCAAGUUUAAUGUACUUAGAGAGUUAGCUAAACUUUGAUUUCUUCAUUGUAAAAAAAUGCUCUAAAGUCUUUAAUAACUUCAAAGGUUGAGGGCUUCAGUUUUACAGUAGCAGAAUGCUGACUAUGCUUCUCAGGACGACUUCAAAAGCAAAAGCACAACUUGCUUUGAUCAGAGAAAGCUUAAUUAUAUUAUGGUUCUGGUGAAAUCUGCAUUGCCUUGAUAACUGCAACUGGCAAAUUUUACCCUUCCAUUCCUCCAUCAUGCUAUGCAAAAUAAUCACUUUCUACAUAUAACUCAGGAGUUAAUAAAUUCUCCUACAUUUCAUGGCCUUGCCUCUGAUUUCUGAUUAGAAGCUUAAGGUUUUCAGUAUAGUGGUGGAAAGGCUUCCCUUCCUGCACAUUCUGGCAGAAAACAGAAAAGAGCCCUUCUUAGGUUGCUGUGUACCUGGGUCAGCCACUUCAAAUUUUUGAAACCUGUAAAUUAUAGAAUGUAUUUUUGUUUCAUUUAAUACUGAACAACUAUGCUCAAGUCUACCAAGUCAUGCCAAUAUUCACCAAUAGACAAUGAAUUACAUCUAUAUGAGAAGGGAGAAACCGGAGCCUGCUGAGAACAACAGAGCAAAAGAUUGCUAUUACACAAUUUAAUGCCCCUUACUGGGAAUAAAUAUCUGCCAAGAGGCUGCCAGCUUUUAUAAUCCUUAAAAA